AAGUCAUCAUGAGUCAUGAUGUCCUUGUGUGUUGGUCUCUGCAUUAUAGAUGUACGUAUAGUACUGAAUGGCUAUAGAAUCAAAGGUCUUAGGCAGUUAAUUACCCCCUCUAUUCAGACACUCGGGGCGGCAGGGUAUCCUAGUGGUUAGAGCGUUGGACUAGUAACCGAAAGGUUUCAUGUUCAAAUCCCCGAGCUGACAAGGUACAAAUCUGUCGUUCUGCCCCUGAACAGGCAGUUAACCCACUGUUCCUAGGCCGUCAUUGAAAAUAAUAAUUUGUUCUUAACUGACUUGCCUAGUUAAAUAAAGGUACAGUUUAAAAUGUAAAAAACAGACUCCCAAUAUUGGAGUCAUUUUCUAUUUAAACUACUACUUCGGCCUUAAUUUAAAUUGGGUCAUUUGAGUCUCUGAAAGAGAUGUGCUUUCCCAGUCAUGUUUUGCUCUCUGCUUUUUGUUCGGGUUAACAAGUAUGUUCUACAUUCCUCUAUGCUCUCUCUAUCUUCAGGAGAAAUACCAUCAACAGCAACAUCAGGAGCCUGUCGGUGGAGCAACGCAGGGCCUUUGGGAGGUGGUACAGCCGAGCCCUCAGCUCCCUCAACAUGACAGCCGGCGGCCCCUCCUUCAUCAGGGACACUGGUAACCUGAUAGUCUACCUGCCCUUUCACAGCUUCCAGCACCUCUCACCUGCUCAGCUGUUGGUUGGAAUGGAUGUGUUGCUGAUGAACACCCUAAGCCAACUACAACAGCAGUUUGUGGCUGACAGCCUCAUAAGGACCUUCAGAAAUCUAACAGUGGAACAAUUCAGGAGGCUUGGCAACCUGACGUGUCUGUCAGACCCAAAGGACCUGCUGGUGUACAGAAACUCGGAGGCCUUCUCUGUGAUUCAGGACAACAUUAGGACAUGUGUUGCCCAGGGCCUCAGGGGCCCCAGUGACAUGGUAAGUAGACCUAUCACAGACAGAACUACUUUAUUUUUUCACUGCAAAGUUUAAGGUGAAACUCAUAUGGGUAUGAGUGAAGUAGACUAAUCUAUGGGUUUAAUUUCUUGUUUGCACUUU
RNAcentral lists this long non-coding RNA (1058 nucleotides) under Oncorhynchus mykiss (rainbow trout). RNAcentral describes it as "lncRNA (ENSOMYG00000033727.2)". The record is from RNAcentral. Lineage: Eukaryota; Metazoa; Chordata; Actinopteri; Salmoniformes; Salmonidae.